GCAAACUUGGUCAUUUAGAGGAAGUAAAAGUCGUAACAAGGUUUCCGUAGGUGAACCUGCGGAAGGAUCAUUAAAGUGGGUAGCUGGUUUAUAGCAUCAUGUAGUGGUAUUGCCAUGCAUGUGCGCCGGCUCCUCCAAAGAAGCGGGUGCGAACAGCAUUCAAUAUCGCCCAGGCUCUGUUGACAGCUGGUAUGUAUGCCCUGUUAAGAUGAGUUUGGAGGGGUAUCUAAGAUCCCCUGCAAGCGUUGCUGUCUCGCAUGUCUGAAUCCGUGUCUUGUUUACCAUCUGUUUCCUCGGCGGGCUCGCCUGCCAAUGAGGACCAAUUUAAACGCUUUGUAGUAGCUGUACAGUCUGAUAACAAACAAAAAACUAUUAAAACUUUCAACAACGGAUCUCUUGGUUCUGGCAUCGAUGAAGAACGCAGC
RNAcentral lists this unclassified non-coding RNA (425 nucleotides) under uncultured fungus. RNAcentral describes it as "partial contains small subunit ribosomal RNA, internal transcribed spacer 1, and 5.8S ribosomal RNA". The stretch from base 1 to 73 matches the Rfam family "Eukaryotic small subunit ribosomal RNA", at positions 1759 to 1831 of the family's 1831-position model. The record is from RNAcentral. Lineage: Eukaryota; Fungi.